UCCUCCGCUUAUUGAUAUGCUUAAGUUCAGCGGGUAUUCCUACCUGAUCCGAGGUCAACCUUGGGUAAAAAAGGCUUUUAACGGCCGGAACCCGCAGCACGCCCUGAGCGAGAUAAAAUCUACUACGCCCGGUGUGACAGCGAGCCCGCCACUGGUUUUCAGGGCCUGCGGCAGCCGCAGGUCCCCAACACAAGCCUGGGGCUUGAUGGUUGAAAUGACGCUCGAACAGGCAUGCCCGCCAGAAUACUGGCGGGCGCAAUGUGCGUUCAAAGAUUCGAUGAUUCACUGAAUUCUGCAAUUCACAUUACUUAUCGCAUUUCGCUGCGUUCUUCAUCGAUGCCAGAACCAAGAGAUCCGUUGUUAAAAGUUUUAAUUUAUUAAUUAAGUUUACUCAGACUGCAAAGUUACGCAAGAGUUUGAAGUGUCCACCCGGAGCCCCCGCCCGAAGGCAGGGUCGCCCCGGAGGCAACAGAGUCGGAAAUCAAAGGGUUGUCAGUCCCCAGCUGUACAAGCCUGGGUGAACUUAUAAUGAUCCCUCCGCAGGUUCACCUACGGA
Molecule: unclassified non-coding RNA, 556 nt
Filed under: uncultured fungus
Lineage: Eukaryota; Fungi
Description: sequence contains 18S rRNA gene, ITS1, 5.8S rRNA gene, ITS2 and 28S rRNA gene
Source: RNAcentral